GAUGAACGCUGGCGGCGUGCCUAAUACAUGCAAGUCGAGCGAACGGACGAGAAGCUUGCUUCUCUGAUGUUAGCGGCGGACGGGUGAGCAACACGUGGAUAACCUACCUAUAAGACUGGGAUAACUUCGGGAAACCGGAGCUAAUACCGGAUAAUAUUUUGAACCGCUUGGUUCAAAAGUGAAAGACGGUCUUGCUGUCACUUAUAGAUGGAUCCGCGCUGCAUUAGCUAGUUGGUAAGGUAACGGCUUACCAAGGCAACGAUGCAUAGCCGACCUGAGGGGGUGAUCGGCCACACUGGAACUGAGACACGGUCCAGACUCCUACGGGAGGCAGCAGUAGGGAAUCUUCCGCAAUGGGCGAAAGCCUGACGGAGCAACGCCGCGUGAGUGAUGAAGGUCUUCGGGUCGUAAAACUCUGUUAUUAGGGAAGAACAUAUGUGUAAGUAACUGUGCACAUCUUGACGGUACCUAAUCAGAAAGCCACGGCUAACUACGUG
Molecule: ribosomal RNA, 497 nt
Filed under: uncultured bacterium
Lineage: Bacteria
Description: partial 16S ribosomal RNA
Rfam family: Bacterial small subunit ribosomal RNA
Source: RNAcentral